Small nuclear RNA from Hippopotamus amphibius kiboko, 106 nucleotides. The record is from RefSeq and is a predicted model, not a curated record. Lineage: Eukaryota; Metazoa; Chordata; Mammalia; Artiodactyla; Hippopotamidae.
GUGCUUGCUUCAGAAGCUCAUAUACUAAAAUUGAAACGAUACAGAGAAGAUUAGCAUGGCCCCUGCACAAGACUGACAUGCAAUUUGUGAAGCGUUCCACACGGUG